Molecule: ribosomal RNA, 330 nt
Filed under: Bacillus siamensis
Lineage: Bacteria; Bacillati; Bacillota; Bacilli; Caryophanales; Bacillaceae
Description: bacterial LSU rRNA
Rfam family: Bacterial large subunit ribosomal RNA
Source: RNAcentral
AGGCCCGCCAUAGGAGGUAACAGCCCUGUAGUCAAAACUUCGUUCUCUCCAGAGUGGAUCCUGAGUACGGCGGAACACGUGAAAUUCCGUCGGAAUCCGGGAGGACCAUCUCCCAAGGCUAAAUACUCCCUAGUGACCGAUAGUGAACCAGUACCGGGAGGGAAAGGUGAAAAGCACCCCGGAAGGGGAGUGAAAGAGAUCCUGAAACCGUGUGCCUACAAGUAGUCAGAGCCCGUUAACGGGUGAUGGCGUGCCUUUUGUAGAAUGAACCGGCGAGUUACGAUCCCGUGCAAGGUUAAGCAGAAGAUGCGGAGCCGCAGCGAAAGCGAG